GUAAACGAUGACACCAGCGAUUCGUCGGCGUUAAUAUAUGACCCGACUAGCAGCUUCCGGGAAACCAAAGUUUUUCGUUUCCGGGGGAAGUAUGGUUGCAAAGCUGAAACUUAAAGGAAUUGACGGAAGGGCACCACCAGGAGUGGAGCCUGCGGCUUAAUUUGACCCAACACGGGAAAACUCACCCGGCCCGGACACCGUAAGGAUUGACAGACUGAGAGCUCUUUCUUAAUUCGGUGGGUGGUGGUGCAUGGCCGUUCUUAGUUGGUGGAGCGAUUUGUCUGGUUAAUUCCGAUAACGAACGAGACUCUGGCCUAUUAAAUAGACGGAAUAUCACUUAAGUAUUCCGCGCUUCUUAGAGGGACAAGCGGCGUCUAGCCGCAUGAAAUAGAGCAAUAACAGGUCUGUGAUGCCCUUAGAUGUCCGGGGCUGCACGCGCGCUACACUGAAAGAAUCAGUGUGCUCAUUCGCCUAGUUCGGAAGAACCGGGUAACCCAAGUAAAUUCUUUCGUGCUUGGGAUAGGGAAUUGCAAUUAUUUCCCUUAAACGAGGAAUUCCCAGUAAGUGCGGGUCAUAAGCUCGCGUUGAUUACGUCCCUGCCCUUUGUACACACCGCCCGUCGCUACUACCGAUUGGAUGACUUAGUGAGGUCUUAGGACCGAGGUAAAGGUGCCUUAACGGGUGCUUUUGCUUUGGAAAUUUGAUCGAACUACGUUAUCUAGAGGAAGUAAAAGUCGUAACAAGGUUUCCGUAGGUGAACCUGCGGAAGGA
RNAcentral lists this ribosomal RNA (771 nucleotides) under uncultured eukaryote. RNAcentral describes it as "SSU rRNA". It matches the Rfam family "Eukaryotic small subunit ribosomal RNA", at positions 1032 to 1825 of the family's 1831-position model. The record is from RNAcentral.